RNAcentral lists this ribosomal RNA (475 nucleotides) under Astroboa globifera. RNAcentral's name for it is "partial 16S ribosomal RNA". It matches the Rfam family "Archaeal large subunit ribosomal RNA", at positions 1948 to 2666 of the family's 2987-position model. The record is from RNAcentral. Lineage: Eukaryota; Metazoa; Echinodermata; Ophiuroidea; Euryalida; Gorgonocephalidae.
UGCCUGCCCAAUGAAUAAGAAUUAUUUAAAUGGCUGCGGUACUCUGACCGUGCAAAGGUAGCAUAAUCAUUAGCCUGUUAAUUUCAGGAUGGAAUCAAUGGCAAGACGAAGAAAAGACUGUCUCUUUUCAUUAAUUUUGAAUUUUUCAUUAUGGUGAAGAGGCCAUAAUAUAAAAGUGGGACAAGAAGACCCUGUUGAAUUUUAGUAAUUUGGAAGAAUUUUUUUUUUGAAAAUUACUUUAGUUGGGGUAACUAUUAAUAGAAUUAAAUAUUUUAGUAAAAAAAAGAAUUGAAUCUAUAAAAAACUAUUAUCCAAAAUUUAUUUUUGAAAAUAGAAAAAAUUACCACAGGGAUAACAGCGUAAUUCUUUUUAAGAGUACUUAUUGACAAAAGAGUUUGCGACCUCGAUGUUGGAUCAAGAUUUCCUGAAGGUGCAGCAGCUUUUAAGGGUUGGUUUGUUCAACCAUUAAAAUCUU